CCUACGGGAGGCAGCAGUAGGGAAUCUUCCGCAAUGGACGAAAGUCUGACGGAGCAACGCCGCGUGAACGAUGAAGGCCUUCGGGUCGUAAAGUUCUGUUGUUAGGGAAGAACAAGUGCUAGUUAAAUAAGCUGGCACCUUGACGGUACCUAACCAGAAAGCCACGGCUAACUACGUGCCAGCAGCCGCGGUAAUACGUAGGUGGCAAGCGUUGUCCGGAAUUAUUGGGCGUAAAGCGCGCGCAGGCGGUUUCUUAAGUCUGAUGUGAAAGCCCCCGGCUCAACCGGGGAGGGUCAUUGGAAACUGGGAAACUUGAGUGCAGAAGAGGAAAGUGGAAUUCCAAGUGUAGCGGUGAAAUGCGUAGAGAUUUGGAGGAACACCAGUGGCGAAGGCGACUUUCUGGUCUGUAACUGACGCUGAGGCGCGAAAGCGUGGGGAGCAAACAGGAUUAGAUACCCUGGUAGUCCACGCUGUAAACGAUGAGUGCUAAGUGUUAGAGGGUUUCCGCCCUUUAGUGCUGAAGUUAACGCAUUAAGCACUCCGCCUGGGGAUACGGUCGCAAGACUGAAACUCAAAGGAUUGACGGCNGAGAGUGCGACGACGACGACGAGGGAGAGG
This 618-nucleotide ribosomal RNA is filed under the name uncultured bacterium. RNAcentral describes it as "bacterial SSU rRNA". It matches the Rfam family "Bacterial small subunit ribosomal RNA", at positions 338 to 950 of the family's 1533-position model. The record is from RNAcentral.